RNAcentral lists this unclassified non-coding RNA (277 nucleotides) under Hevea brasiliensis (rubber tree). Lineage: Eukaryota; Viridiplantae; Streptophyta; Magnoliopsida; Malpighiales; Euphorbiaceae. The record is from RNAcentral.
GGUUGUUGGAGAGAGGAGUAGUGGUUGUGAUUUUUUUGUUUUUCUUCGUUUUUUGAAUUAUGGUUUCAGAAGGAACCCAAAAAUUCAUAAUUGUGCCUGGUUCUAUCUCUAUACUAUGAGGUCUGAUUCCAGCUAAUUUCAUUAGGCCAUGUAACAAUGGUUUUUGUGCUUCAACCAAGUUCACCAUUUUUUUAUUUGCAAGAAAAAUGUUUCUUGUGUACGGAGGAAUUAAGGAUAGAAGAGAUGAGAGGAAGGGGAUUUUUAAAGUAAGGUUAGG